GAUGAACGCUGGCGGCGUGCCUAAUACAUGCAAGUCGAGCGAACGGACGAGAAGCUUGCUUCUCUGAUGUUAGCGGCGGACGGGUGAGUAACACGUGGAUAACCGACCUAUAAGACUGGGAUAACUUCGGGAAAACGUAGCUAAUACCAGAUAAUAUAUUGAACCGCAUGGUUCAAAAGUGAAAGACGGUCUUGCUGUCACUAAUAGAUGGAUCCACGCUGCAUUAGCUAGUUGGUAAGGUAACGGCAUACCAAGGCAACGAUGAAUAGCCGACCUGAGAGGGAGCGCGGCGACACUGGACCGUAAAAAUGGUCGACACUACUAAGAGAGGCACAAGUCGCAAAUCCUUACGAGUGGGCGCAGUGCUGACGGAUCAACGCCGGGGGAGUGACUAAGGCCUUCGGAUCGUAAAACUUUGUUAUUAGGGAAGAACAAAUGUUUAAUUGACUGUGAAGAUCAUGACGGUACUUAAUCAGAAAGGUACGGCUAACUACGUG
RNAcentral lists this ribosomal RNA (497 nucleotides) under uncultured bacterium. Its description in RNAcentral is "partial 16S ribosomal RNA". It matches the Rfam family "Bacterial small subunit ribosomal RNA", at positions 28 to 507 of the family's 1533-position model. The record is from RNAcentral.